This 340-nucleotide long non-coding RNA is filed under the name Elaeis guineensis (African oil palm). RNAcentral's name for it is "long non-coding RNA (EGUI_LNC057079)". Lineage: Eukaryota; Viridiplantae; Streptophyta; Magnoliopsida; Arecales; Arecaceae. The record is from RNAcentral.
AAACCCAAUUCGAAACAAGGAGCUAGUUUUUUGCAACAUGUGCUAGCAUGUCAAUUUUGCAAACAUGAUCUAAUCCAAUUAGACCCCUGAUUAAUACCCUUUGUGUGUGACCCAUUUGAUUCCACAUCUAGCUAGCAAUAGGUCCAAGUUCAAGUCGAUUUGAUUUGAUUAGAAUUUAAUCUAACCGAUCUAGAUCCAAUCGAGCUAACCCGAUUUCAGCAAUUAGAACUCUUCCUAAUUGGUGAUUGAAUUAAACUCUUUAAUUCGAUCAAACCCAUAGAUAUGAAAUUUUUGAUAGAAAUACCAAAAAUACUCUUCAGUGGAAAGUUAUCGUGCAAUU